GUCGAACGGACGUUCAGGGCUUGCUCUGAACGUUAGUGGCGGACGGCUGAGUAACGCGUAGGUGACCUGCCCCGAAGUGGGGAAUAACUGCCCGAAAGGGUGGCUAAUACCGCAUGUGGUGGAGCGUUCAUUCGCUCCAGUAAAGCCGCAAGGCGCUUCGGGAGGGGCCUGCGUCCGAUUAGCUCGUUGGUGGGGUAACGGCUCACCAAGGCGACGAUCGGUAGGUGGUCUGAGAGGACGAUCACCCAGACUGGGACUGAGACACGGCCAAGACUCCUACGGGAGGCAGCAGUCGGGAAUUUUGCGCAAUGGACGAAAGUCUGACGCAGCAACGCCGCGUGAGGGAUGACGGCCUUCGGGUUGUAAACCUCUUUUAUCAGGGAAGAUCAUGACGGUACCUGAUGAAUAAGUCACGGCUAACUACGUGCCAGCAGCCGCGGUAAUACGUAGGUGACAAGCGUUGUCCGGAUUUACUGGGCGUAAAGAGCGCGCAGGCGGUCGAUCAAGUCGAGUGUGAAAGCCCCCGGCUCAACUGGGGAGGGUCAUUCGAAACUGGUCGACUCGAAGGCAGGAGAGGGUAGUGGAAUUCCCGGUGUAGUGGUGAAAUGCGUAGAUAUCGGGAGGAACACCAGUGGCGAAGGCGACUACCUGGCCUGUUCUUGACGCUGAGGCGCGAAAGCUAGGGGAGCAAACGGGAUUA
RNAcentral lists this ribosomal RNA (700 nucleotides) under uncultured bacterium. Its description in RNAcentral is "bacterial SSU rRNA". It matches the Rfam family "Bacterial small subunit ribosomal RNA", at positions 61 to 780 of the family's 1533-position model. The record is from RNAcentral.